GACGAACGCUGGCGGCGUGCUUAACACAUGCAAGUCGAACGGAGAACUUUCUUCGGAAUGUUCUUAGUGGCGAACGGGUGAGUAACGCGUAGGCAACCUGCCCUCUGGUUGGGGACAACAUUCCGAAAGGGAUGCUAAUACCGAAUGUGAUCCUCUCUCCGCAUGGAGAGAGGAUGAAAGAUGGCCUCUACUUGUAAGCUAUCGCCAGAAGAUGGGCCUGCGUCUGAUUAGCUAGUAGGUGGGGUAACGGCUCACCUAGGCGAUGAUCAGUAGCCGGUCUGAGAGGAUGAACGGCCACAUUGGGACUGAGACACGGCCCAAACUCCUACGGGAGGCAGCAGUGGGGAAUCUUCCGCAAUGGACGAAAGUCUGACGGAGCAACGCCGCGUGAGUGAUGAAGGCCUUCGGGUUGUAAAACUCUGUUGUCAGGGACGAACGUGCCGAUUUAUAAUACACUUCGGCAGUGACGGUACCUGACGAGGAAGCCACGGCUAACUACGUG
Molecule: ribosomal RNA, 502 nt
Filed under: uncultured bacterium
Lineage: Bacteria
Description: bacterial SSU rRNA
Rfam family: Bacterial small subunit ribosomal RNA
Source: RNAcentral